This 359-nucleotide long non-coding RNA is filed under the name Gossypium raimondii (Peruvian cotton). Its description in RNAcentral is "long non-coding RNA (GRAI_LNC002207)". The record is from RNAcentral. Lineage: Eukaryota; Viridiplantae; Streptophyta; Magnoliopsida; Malvales; Malvaceae.
GUAAGUGUUUCCCUGAGCAAAAGAAUUUGAAGCAAACACAUUCUGCAUUGGAGGGUGCGUCAAACCAUCAUCUCCCGACUUACUAGGAGCUCCAAGUUGUUGAAUGAGCAGGUUACUGUCAGGUAAAGGUGUAUGUAUGACAGGUCGAUUUGCUUCCUGAAUUGUAAUAUAAGCUCGCUGUUGAAACCCAUCAGACUGAGAAUGUGCAGGCAAUUCAGUUGGAUAAGGCCUUGGGAUAAUUUCUGAACCAAAAUCAUUCCUCAAAGGCAAGUGACUCUGCCGAAAAUGUGAAGAAACACCAGGAGUUAUAGUUGAAUCAAGUGGUUUCAGUGGUGGUGGUGGUGGAGGCAAGGAAGCCA